ACCAUUUCAGGAGAUGUCGUCGAUGGUGUUAGUUUACUUCGUUGUUGUGUGCUGAUUUGCUUUGAUUUGUGGUCAAAUCUGAUUCGCUUCUUUGAGCUCGCCGAUUCUUCGGAGUUCGUGGCUUCUUAUUGCUGGUGUGUUGGAGAAAGAAGAGAAAGAAAUGAGUUGUUUGGUUGUUGUUUGUGGUGGUUUCACCGGAGCGAAGUGGGGAUGAGAUUGUUUGAUGGUUGUCUUAGUGUGGUUCUCUAUCGGUGGAUGGUGGUGGCACUUUAAGAUUAAUAGGAGGAGAGAAAGAUUAGGGUUCUACCCAAUUUAGAAAUUAGUCCUAAA
Molecule: unclassified non-coding RNA, 330 nt
Filed under: Hevea brasiliensis (rubber tree)
Lineage: Eukaryota; Viridiplantae; Streptophyta; Magnoliopsida; Malpighiales; Euphorbiaceae
Source: RNAcentral